GGUUAAGCGACUAAGCGUACACGGUGGAUGCCCUGGCAGUCAGAGGCGAUGAAGGGCGUGCUAAUCUGCGAUAAGCGCCGGUAAGGUGAUAUGAACCGUUAUAACCGGCGAUACCCGAAUGGGGAAACCCAGUGUGACUCGUCACACUAUCAUUAACUGAAUCCAUAGGUUAAUGAGGCGAACCGGGGGAACUGAAACAUCUAAGUACCCCGAGGAAAAGAAAUCAACCGAGAUUCCCCCAGUAGCGGCGAGCGAACGGGGAGGAGCCCAGAGCCUGAAUCAGCAUGUGUGUUAGUGGAAGCGUCUGGAAAGGCGCGCGAUACAGGGUGACAGCCCCGUACACAAAAGCGCAUGUGCUGUGAGCUCGAUGAGUAGGGCGGGACACGUGGUAUCCUGUCUGAAUAUGGGGGGACCAUCCUCCAAGGCUAAAUACUCCUGACUGACCGAUAGUGAACCAGUACCGUGAGGGAAAGGCGAAAAGAACCCCGGCGAGGGGAGUGAAAAAGAACCUGAAACCGUGUACGUACAAGCAGUGGGAGCACCCUUUGGGGUGUGACUGCGUACCUUUUGUAUAAUGGGUCAGCGACUUAUAUUCUGUAGCAAGGUUAACCGAAUAGGGGAGCCGGAGGGAAACCGAGUCUUAAUUGGGCGUUAAGUUGCAGGGUAUAGACCCGAAACCCGGUGAUCUAGCCAUGGGCAGGUUGAAGGUUGGGUAACACUAACUGGAGGACCGAACCGACUAAUGUUGAAAAAUUAGCGGAUGACCUGUGGCUGGGGGUGAAAGGCCAAUCAAACCGGGAGAUAGCUGGUUCUCCCCGAAAGCUAUUUAGGUAGCGCCUCGUGAAUUCAUCUCCGGGGGUAGAGCACUGUUUCGGCUAGGGGGCCAUCCCGGCUUACCAACCCGAUGCAAACUGCGAAUACCGGAGAAUGUUAUCACGGGAGACACACGGCGGGUGCUAACGUCCGUCGUGAAGAGGGAAACAACCCAGACCGCCAGCUAAGGUCCCAAAGUCAUGGUUAAGUGGGAAACGAUGUGGGAAGGCCCAGACAGCCAGGAUGUUGGCUUAGAAGCAGCCAUCAUUUAAAGAAAGCGUAAUAGCUCACUGGUCGAGUCGGCCUGCGCGGAAGAUGUAACGGGGCUAAACCAUGCACCGAAGCUGCGGCAGCGACGCUGAUGCGUUGUUGGGUAGGGGAGCGUUCUGUAAGCCUGCGAAGGUGGCCUGUGAGGGUUGCUGGAGGUAUCAGAAGUGCGAAUGCUGACAUAAGUAACGAUAAAGCGGGUGAAAAGCCCGCUCGCCGGAAGACCAAGGGUUCCUGUCCAACGUUAAUCGGGGCAGGGUGAGUCGACCCCUAAGGCGAGGCCGAAAGGCGUAGUCGAUGGGAAACGGGUUAAUAUUCCCGUACUUGGUGUUACUGCGAAGGGGGGACGGAGAAGGCUAUGUUGGCCGGGCGACGGUUGUCCCGGUUUAAGCGUGUAGGCUGGUUUUCCAGGCAAAUCCGGAAAAUCAAGGCUGAGGCGUGACGACGAGGCACUACGGUGCUGAAGCAACAAAUGCCCUGCUUCCAGGAAAAGCCUCUAAGCAUCAGGUAACAUCAAAUCGUACCCCAAACCGACACAGGUGGUCAGGUAGAGAAUACCAAGGCGCUUGAGAGAACUCGGGUGAAGGAACUAGGCAAAAUGGUGCCGUAACUUCGGGAGAAGGCACGCUGACAUGUAGGUGAAGUGAUUUACUCAUGGAGCUGAAGUCAGUCGAAGAUACCAGCUGGCUGCAACUGUUUAUUAAAAACACAGCACUGUGCAAACACGAAAGUGGACGUAUACGGUGUGACGCCUGCCCGGUGCCGGAAGGUUAAUUGAUGGGGUCAGCGCAAGCGAAGCUCCUGAUCGAAGCCCCGGUAAACGGCGGCCGUAACUAUAACGGUCCUAAGGUAGCGAAAUUCCUUGUCGGGUAAGUUCCGACCUGCACGAAUGGCGUAAUGAUGGCCAGGCUGUCUCCACCCGAGACUCAGUGAAAUUGAACUCGCUGUGAAGAUGCAGUGUACCCGCGGCAAGACGGAAAGACCCCGUGAACCUUUACUAUAGCUUGACACUGAACAUUGAGCCUUGAUGUGUAGGAUAGGUGGGAGGCUUUGAAGCGUGGACGCCAGUCUGCGUGGAGCCGACCUUGAAAUACCACCCUUUAAUGUUUGAUGUUCUAACGUGGACCCGUUACCCGGGUUGCGGACAGUGUCUGGUGGGUAGUUUGACUGGGGCGGUCUCCUCCUAAAGAGUAACGGAGGAGCACGAAGGUUGGCUAAUCCUGGUCGGACAUCAGGAGGUUAGUGCAAUGGCAUAAGCCAGCUUGACUGCGAGCGUGACGGCGCGAGCAGGUGCGAAAGCAGGUCAUAGUGAUCCGGUGGUUCUGAAUGGAAGGGCCAUCGCUCAACGGAUAAAAGGUACUCCGGGGAUAACAGGCUGAUACCGCCCAAGAGUUCAUAUCGACGGCGGUGUUUGGCACCUCGAUGUCGGCUCAUCACAUCCUGGGGCUGAAGUAGGUCCCAAGGGUAUGGCUGUUCGCCAUUUAAAGUGGUACGCGAGCUGGGUUUAGAACGUCGUGAGACAGUUCGGUCCCUAUCUGCCGUGGGCGCUGGAGAACUGAGGGGGGCUGCUCCUAGUACGAGAGGACCGGAGUGGACGCAUCACUGGUGUUCGGGUUGUCAUGCCAAUGGCACUGCCCGGUAGCUAAAUGCGGAAGAGAUAAGUGCUGAAAGCAUCUAAGCACGAAACUUGCCCCGAGAUGAGUUCUCCCUGAGACUUUAGGUCUCCUGAAGGAACGUUGAAGACGACGACGUUGAUAGGCCGGGUGUGUAAGCGCAGCGAUGCGUUGAGCUAACCGGUACUAAUGAACCGUGAGGCUUAACCUU
RNAcentral lists this ribosomal RNA (2904 nucleotides) under Salmonella enterica subsp. enterica serovar Bovismorbificans str. Sal610. Its description in RNAcentral is "23S ribosomal RNA". It matches the Rfam family "Bacterial large subunit ribosomal RNA". Lineage: Bacteria; Pseudomonadati; Pseudomonadota; Gammaproteobacteria; Enterobacterales; Enterobacteriaceae. The record is from RNAcentral.